CUGUGAAGUGGAGCAAAGCNCAAAAGCCGUUCUCAGUUCGGAUUGUAGUCUGCAACUCGACUACAUGAAGCUGGAAUCGCUAGUAAUCGCGAAUCAGCAUGUCGCGGUGAAUACGUUCCCGGGCCUUGUACACACCGCCCGUCACACCAUGGGAGUUGGAAGCGCCCGAAGCCUGUGACCCAACCUGCAAGGGAGGGAGCAGUCGAAGGAGAAGCCAGCGACUGGGGUGAAGUCGUAACAAGGUAUC
RNAcentral lists this ribosomal RNA (247 nucleotides) under uncultured bacterium. RNAcentral describes it as "partial 16S ribosomal RNA". It matches the Rfam family "Bacterial small subunit ribosomal RNA", at positions 1255 to 1500 of the family's 1533-position model. The record is from RNAcentral.